Molecule: ribosomal RNA, 506 nt
Filed under: uncultured bacterium
Lineage: Bacteria
Description: partial 16S ribosomal RNA
Rfam family: Bacterial small subunit ribosomal RNA
Source: RNAcentral
AGUGAACGCUGGCGGUAGGCCUAACACAUGCAAGUCGAACGGCAGCACAGGAGAGCUUGCUCUCUGGGUGGCGAGUGGCGGACGGGUGAGGAAUACAUCGGAAUCUACUCUGUCGUGGGGGAUAACGUAGCGAAACUUACGCUAAUACCGCAUACGACCUACGGGUGAAAGCAGGGGACCUUCGGGCCUUGCGCGAUUGAAUGAGCCGAUGUCGGAUUAGCUAGUUGGCGGGGUAAAGGCCCACCAAGGCGACGAUCCGGAGCUAGUCUGAGAGGAUGAUCAGCCACACUGGAACUGAGACACGGUCCAGACUCCUACGGGAGGCAGCAGUGGGGAAUAUUGGACAAUGGGCGCAAGCCUGAUCCAGCCAUACCGCGUGGGUGAAGAAGGCCUUCGGGUUGUAAAGCCCUUUUGUUGGGAAAGAAAUCCAGCUGGCUAAUACCCGGUUGGGAUGACGGUACCCAAAGAAUAAGCACCGGCUAACUUCGUGCCAGCAGCCGCCGUAA